UCUUCCUGCAGUUCUCACGUCCUUCAGGGAGACUCCACCUUCUAAAGGUUCCAGACUCCUCCCUACGGCACCCCCAGCUGAGUUCAGACACAGGAGACUGUAUGAAAGGGGAGGCACUCCUCCUUCAAAACCAGAACAUAAGGCUUUAACUUUGUCAUUUUUUAGACUUACUAGCCUUAAAAAAGAGUCGUUACAAAAUGUUGUGUCAUCAUGCCAAGGACAGAGAACUGUGGAGUCACCCAAUUUUCCCUGUGUCCAUGUGGCUUCUGAAGCAAUUUCAAUGCUGGCCAUGAAGUAUACCACACUGCACACUCCGGAUUCUGAGAAGCUGCUGACUGUGAAACUGUGCUGUUUAGCUGUGGGAUAGUUGGCCCCAUACAGGAACCCAUAAAAGAACAUUGGAUGAUGCCGAGUCAGGAGUUACAGGUGGUGCUGAGCCACAGUGUUGUUGCUUGGUAUUGAACCCUGGUCCUCUGGAACAGCUAGCAGGUUUCCCCAUCAUGAGCUUGAUGCCCCUUGCUCAUGGAAUACUUCUUCUCUGUCUUCGACUG
This is a non-coding RNA of Peromyscus maniculatus bairdii (prairie deer mouse), 551 nucleotides long. NCBI's taxonomy places the organism in Eukaryota, Metazoa, Chordata, Mammalia, Rodentia, Cricetidae. The record is from RefSeq and is a predicted model, not a curated record.